RNAcentral lists this ribosomal RNA (799 nucleotides) under uncultured fungus. RNAcentral describes it as "SSU rRNA". It matches the Rfam family "Eukaryotic small subunit ribosomal RNA", at positions 314 to 1114 of the family's 1831-position model. The record is from RNAcentral. Lineage: Eukaryota; Fungi.
AUCAACUUUCGAUGGUAGGAUAGAGGCCUACCAUGGUGGUAACGGGUAACGGGGUGUUAGGGCACGACACCGGAGAGGGAGCCUGAGAAACGGCUACCACAUCCAAGGAAGGCAGCAGGCGCACAAAUUACCCAAUCCCGACACGGGGAGGUAGUGACAAUAAAUAACAAUACGGGGUUCUUUAGGAUCUCGUAAUUGGAAUGAGUACAAUUUAAAUCUCUUAACGAGGAACAAUUGGAGGGCGAGUCUGGUGCCAGCAGCCGCGGUAAUUCCAGCUCCAAUAGCGUAUAUUAAAGUUGUUGCAGUUAAAAAGCUCGUAGUUGAAUUUCGGGGUUAGUAGGUUGGUCAUGCCUCUGGUAUGUACUGGUCUCACUGAUUCCUCCUUCCUGAUGAACCGUAAUGCCAUUAAUUUGGUGUUGCGGGGAAUUUGGACUGUUACUUUGAAAAAAUUAGAGUGUUUAAAGCAAGCUAACGCUUGAAUACAUUAGCAUGGAAUAAUGAAAUAGGACGUUCGAUCCUAUUUUGUUGGUUUCUAGGAUUGACGUAAUGAUUAAUAGGGAUAGUUGGGGGCAUUAGUAUUCAAUUGUCAGAGGUGAAAUUCUUGGAUUUAUUGAAGACUAACUACUGCGAAAGCAUUUGCCAAGGAUGUUUUCAUUAAUCAAGAACGAAAGUUAGGGGAUCGAAGACGAUCAGAUACCGUCGUAGUCUUAACCAUAAACUAUGCCGACUAGGGAUCGGAUGAUGUUAAUUUCUUAAUGACUCAUUCGGCGCCUUACGGGAAACCAAAGUGUUUGGGUUC